GAGCUAAUACCGGAUAAUAUAUUGAACCGCAUGGUUCAAUAGUGAAAGACGGUUUUGCUGUCACUUAUAGAUGGAUCCGCGCCGCAUUAGCUAGUUGGUAAGGUAACGGCUUACCAAGGCAACGAUGCGUAGCCGACCUGAGAGGGUGAUCGGCCACACUGGAACUGAGAUACGGCCCAG
RNAcentral lists this ribosomal RNA (180 nucleotides) under uncultured Staphylococcus sp. RNAcentral's name for it is "partial 16S ribosomal RNA". It matches the Rfam family "Bacterial small subunit ribosomal RNA", at positions 160 to 334 of the family's 1533-position model. Lineage: Bacteria; Bacillati; Bacillota; Bacilli; Caryophanales; Staphylococcaceae. The record is from RNAcentral.